Molecule: long non-coding RNA, 593 nt
Organism: Pseudopipra pipra
Lineage: Eukaryota; Metazoa; Chordata; Aves; Passeriformes; Pipridae
Exons: 3
Source: RefSeq, a predicted model, not a curated record
GCAGAGCUGUCCUUCCACUCCUCAUGGAUGUCCCUCCCACAGCAGCUGCAUCUUAAACAGGAAUCCAGCUGAAGCAGCAAGGCUGCCGUGGUACUUUACAGAUCAUGUAUCAUGAGAAGCAGUGUUGUGCUCACACCUUUGUACAGUUGUGGCUUCCAGCUCACUGUGAACCUGGCCCUGAGUCUCUGCUGGUGGUUUUGCUGCCUGUAUUAGGUAUUAUUCAGUUAUCUGGGACUUCUGAUACAAUCUUUGUACUGGCUUGAAAAUAUCAGCGUAUCACAUGGCAGGUAAAUCUCUUUUCUUAUCAAUAAAGAAAUAAAGCAGUUAAUUUCUAGCAUAUCAUUGCAAUGACAGCACUAACAAUAAAAAUUGAAGAGCAGUUACACUUAAUUGAAAGAUAAAUCUGGGAUGAUCCUUACCACUAGUGUAAGAAGCUACCCUCAUUUAUUCUGCCUCUCUCUCUCAUUGCAAUGAACUGCAUUUUUACCCUGACCCUUUGCUAGUUAUCUUUUCUGAUGCUGAAGAAUCAUAUCUUGUCUGCACCUCCCAGAAUGCUGAAAGGACUGUUGUGCUUCACCUGAUUGCAGACAAUA